RNAcentral lists this unclassified non-coding RNA (878 nucleotides) under Hevea brasiliensis (rubber tree). Lineage: Eukaryota; Viridiplantae; Streptophyta; Magnoliopsida; Malpighiales; Euphorbiaceae. The record is from RNAcentral.
GGCUUUUGAUGCAAAAUCAGAACUCUGCAUCCACAAGCAUAAGCAUAUUUAAAAUGGGCAGUGACAUAUAUUAGACCUUUAAGGUCCACAAAAGGGGAAACAAUUAGCCACACAAUUUGUUCUCUUAGUCAAUGAAAUUGCCUUUGCUUAAAGCAUAAAGUUUAACAUUUAACAAUAUGCUGCUUGUAUUUUAGGCCAAUACAAUAAAUGAAAAACAAUGAUAAAAUUCAGCACCUUCCCCCAUUUUCCCCCAAUUCAAAAGACACAACAAAACCAAGAUUAUGUCAGGCAUUCUUCCUGCACCCUAGCAAAACCUUAUCAACUUAAAUAGGUAUUUCUAAUCAAUAUACCUUCUGAUGCACACAUGUUUCAUUAUAAAAUGAAAGUUCAAGGCCUAUACUUCAAUUCCAAUCACACUAUCACUCCAGCCACAUGAACUUUAAAAGAAAAAGCAAAUUAACAGACAAUUGAGGGAUAUCAGAAAGGUCUCCAAAACGACCACACUAAAGCAACCUACCUCAGAAUUAUAACUUUUAAAUAAGCCUUUAUGAUUGAUGCAUCUCCCAAGUCUUCCUUUACUGAACUAUAUCAUCUCUAUUGAUGCCCAUGCCUUGAGCAUCUACUAUCACUAUUCACUAUACAGCAAUUGCCUUCUUUUAGUCCAAACUUCAAAUUCGUUUCUCAAUUAUGUCUGUAUACAUUUGUAUUUCUCUACCAAUAGUAGACCCUCUAUAUCUACACUAGAAUGAGAAACAUUUUCCUUGCCGCUGUGGUGUGACCUUUUCAAACUCACCUGGCACCUCAAGAGUACAAAAUUCUACAAGACCAUCAAACUUUUAUAAUGACUGAUUGCUACAUUUGAUUUAGCUAAUACUUAU